UGGAUCACAAGGAGAGAACCGGCUUGUGCUGUGGCAGUCACAGCCGAGUGCUGGGACAGUUGGCAGUUGAGUGGCGGCCAUCUUAGAGAGUUGUACUGACAGGAGGAGCUGAGAGACAAGACCGGUACUGCUGCUGCUGUGAUUCCAAGCCAGGGUGGCAGGACAGGUUCCUUGAGCAGAUGUUCAAUGUAGGAUCAGUUUCUGAAAGACUUUUGACCUGGAAAGCAACCUGUGACUCUCCAGCUGAACUACAACAAUGGGUGGAACUACAGGAUUCAUGCUGCUUGCCAGGCCUUCUGGGAGUUGUUUGUCAACAAUGGGUGGAGUGCCUCAGGUUGCCUCAGCCAGCUUUAUGAAAGGAAGUGAAAUUAUGCUCCCUGUGACUCCCUGACAUGGAAUACAAAACCUGCAAGAUCUGAUGCUUGGAUGAUGAUUGCCUUUGCUCGAUUUGGAAUCUGAGUCUGGUAGGAAAACCCAAGCCGAGAUGCACAUGUUUAGCUCUUCCUCCCUCAUACAUUUG
Long non-coding RNA from Pseudophryne corroboree (corroboree frog), 520 nucleotides. RefSeq lists it as uncharacterized. The record is from RefSeq and is a predicted model, not a curated record. Lineage: Eukaryota; Metazoa; Chordata; Amphibia; Anura; Myobatrachidae. The transcript has 3 exons.